AACCAUCAAAUCAUCAUAUCACUUUCUUUUUCUCUUACCUCUUCCUCUUUCCCAUUUCUUCAACCCAAUCUUGAAGACAAAGAAUGAACACUCUUCAAAAUCAGGAGAAAUAAACAAUAACCACCACCAGCAACCACCUCCUCCGGCGAAACUCACCGGGCUUCUUCUCCGGCUCUCUCUCUCCUCAAUCUUUAGAAGCAAAUGAAGGGUCUGAAUGUUGUUUUAGAGAGAGAACGAUGACAACAAUCUUCAUCAUGUUCAUCUAUAACACCAAGAACACACAUACAAGUGUAAGAGAGAGAGAGGAAGUUUGAACACACAUACAGACGACUCGGGUCAGAUUCAUGUUCAGAAAUAAUGAUAUACGGUUGACGAUUUUGUUGGUUUGGUUGCUGUUUGGGCUUUUGAUCUGAAUAAAACAGAUCCAUAAAGAUAUUCAAUUGACAAGCUGGAUGGAUGUAGGCGACGUUAAUGUGGGGACAUUGAAUAAGUCAAAUCUUUUAGGAAAGAAGUUUUCGUUCGUUUAUAACAUGUGUUAGUGGUUCAUGUUGUAACAGAUCCAUAAACAAGUUUUCAUGUUGUAACAAGUUUUCGUUCGUU
Long non-coding RNA from Helianthus annuus (common sunflower), 600 nucleotides. RefSeq lists it as uncharacterized. The transcript is spliced from 3 exons. NCBI's taxonomy places the organism in Eukaryota, Viridiplantae, Streptophyta, Magnoliopsida, Asterales, Asteraceae. The record is from RefSeq and is a predicted model, not a curated record.